CCUACGGGAGGCAGCAGUGGGGAAUAUUGGACAAUGGGCGAAAGCCUGAUCCAGCCAUGCCGCGUGUGUGAAGAAGGCCUUCGGGUUGUAAAGCACUUUCAGUGGGGAAGAAAGCCUUGGGGCUAAUACCCUCGAGGAAGGACAUCACCCACAGAAGAAGCACCGGCUAACUCCGUGCCAGCAGCCGCGGUAAUACGGAGGGUGCGAGCGUUAAUCGGAAUUACUGGGCGUAAAGCGCGCGUAGGCGGUCUGAUAAGCCGGUUGUGAAAGCCCCGGGCUCAACCUGGGAACGGAUCCGGAAACUGCAGGCUUGAGGGGCGGGAAGGAAAGGAAAAUUUCCGGGGGAGCGGGUAAAAGCGGAGAGAUCGGGAGGAAUACCAGUGGCGAAGGCGGCCUUCUGGACUGACACUGACGCUGAGGUGCGAAAGCGUGGGUAGCAAACAGGAUUAGAUACCCCAGUAGUC
Molecule: ribosomal RNA, 464 nt
Filed under: Vreelandella stevensii
Lineage: Bacteria; Pseudomonadati; Pseudomonadota; Gammaproteobacteria; Oceanospirillales; Halomonadaceae
Description: partial 16S ribosomal RNA
Rfam family: Bacterial small subunit ribosomal RNA
Source: RNAcentral